This 377-nucleotide ribosomal RNA is filed under the name uncultured crenarchaeote. Its description in RNAcentral is "partial 16S ribosomal RNA". It matches the Rfam family "Archaeal small subunit ribosomal RNA", at positions 330 to 709 of the family's 1478-position model. The record is from RNAcentral. Lineage: Archaea; Thermoproteati; Thermoproteota.
GUGCAGCAGGCGCGAAAACUCCGCAAUGCGCGAAAGCGUGACGGGGUCACCCCGAGUGCCGUCCGCUGAGGAUGGCUUUUGCCUGGUCUAACCAGCCGGGUGAAUAAGGAGAGGGCAAGUCUGGUGUCAGCCGCCGCGGUAAUACCAGCUCUCCGAGUGGUAGGGACGAUUAUUGGGCUUAAAGCGUCCGUAGCCGGCUCAGCAAGUCUCCCGUUAAAUCCAACGAUUCAAUCGUUGGACUGCGGGAGAUACUGUUGAGCUAGGAAGCGGGAGAGGCCGACGGUAUUCCCGGAGUAGGGGUGAAAUCUUAUUAUUCCGGGAGGAACACCAGUGGCGAAGGCUGGCGGCUAGAACGCGCUCGACCGUGAGGGACGAAA